GUUUUGUCCUUUCUGAAUUUUCGGCACGGUUUUCCCUUUUCAUUCGAGCAUCACUGUUUCAAUAAAGCAGAGAGAGAGAGAGGAAGGGGCACUCGAGCGGAGGAGGAGGAGACCAGGCGAUUCGUGUUGUUCAUGUCGAUUCCGAGACCCUCCUCCCCCACUUGUCGAGUUUGAUUUCUCUCCCCUUUCUCUUCGAUUCAUGACGUCUUCGGUUGGUCGGCCUCGUCAUUCUCCCUCCCGCGCAUGAUUUUUGAUUGUUUCUGGGUGUGUGGCUUUCCAGAUCUAGGUGAAUUGCUGCCGUGAUUUCUUUGUGGGUUCGUGAUUGGUGUUUGUAGCCGCCGUGUUGUUGUAGAUUCGUGGUAGGUGCUUGUAGUUUUAGCGGUUGGCUCUGCUUCCUGGCAUGCGUAAUCCUCCAUUGUUCCCCAUCUACUCUUGUGUAGGCGCUGGUAGUUGUCUCGUUUUUUUGUUAGAUGUAGAUGUAUAGAUUAGAUGCAGGGUUUCAGAUGAGUGUUUUUGUGGUUAGAGUUUGGUGACUUGCGCUGGCAGGUGGUCUUUAUGUUCGUGGAUCCUGUUGGUUUUUUGUUGUAGAUACAUGAAUUUUGGUAGGUUUAGUUGUAGUUAGUUGUUACCAGUGGCCUCUACUGCAUGUAGUGCACAGGUUCCAUGACUUCUGAGUGUUAUCAAUGGCCUCUGGGUGUAUCAGACUUACCCCAGCCUCCAGUUAGCUCUGUUUUUGGUGUAUUUUCCAGGUUAUAUUUUCUAUUUCCCCCUGUGUUCUAGCCCUGUACUUACCCCUAGUUUGUGAGUGUUGGUUCUUAUCAAUGUAUUUUUUUCAGUGCUCAUGUAUUAGAGUGUAAGCACAAUAAUUUAUGUGUUCUUUUGCUAGUAUUUGUUUUCUGAAGUUCAUGUAGGUUAUCUAGAUUUUCUAUUGAAUCAUGCGCUUUUCUCUGUACUUUUAUGUGCUUUGCACUUCAAUUCCUCUAUUCUUUCAUUUUUCUAAUGCUCCUGGUUGAUUGAACCAACCAGGAUUUGCAGUGUAACUCUAUUUGUAUUGAGCCUGUAUUUUACUUAUGUUUCUGUAGUGUAAUUAUCCUAGAGUUACUGCGUAAUUAUGUCCAGAGUUUCAGUGUAAUAUAGGCCAGAGUUACUGUGUAAUUUCCCUGAGUUGCAGUGUAAUUCCCCCCAGAGUUACCGUGUAAUUCUCAUGCUUAUUAUAUGUACUUGACCCUAGAGUUUUACACACUGUGAUUACCCUAGAGUUACUGUGUAAUUACCCCAGAGUUCCAGUGUAAUAUACCUUAGAGUUGUUGUGCAAUUUGUCCCAGAGUUUCAAUGUAAUUACCCCCAGAGUUACUGUGUAAUUCACAUGUUGCUUACAUGUUAUCCCAGAGUUAUAAUGUGUCCC
Molecule: ribosomal RNA, 1405 nt
Filed under: Triticum aestivum (bread wheat)
Lineage: Eukaryota; Viridiplantae; Streptophyta; Magnoliopsida; Poales; Poaceae
Description: partial small subunit ribosomal RNA
Source: RNAcentral